Molecule: ribosomal RNA, 254 nt
Filed under: uncultured prokaryote
Description: partial 16S ribosomal RNA
Rfam family: Bacterial small subunit ribosomal RNA
Source: RNAcentral
AGACGUAGGGAGCGAGCGUUGUCCGGAUUCAUUGGGCGUAAAGCGCGCGUAGGCGGCCUCGCAAGUCGGUUGUGAAAUCCCGGUGGCUCAACCCCGGGACUGCGUCCGAUACUGCGGGGCUGGAGGUAGGUAGGGGAGAUCGGAAUUCCUGGUGUAGCGGUGAAAUGCGCAGAUAUCAGGAGGAACACCGGUGGCGAAGGCGGAUCUCUGGGCCUUACCUGACGCUGAGGCGCGAAAGCUAGGGGAGCGAACAG